AACGAACGCUGGCGGCAUGCCUAACACAUGCAAGUCGAACGAGACCUUCGGGUCUAGUGGCGCACGGGUGCGUAACGCGUGGGAAUCUGCCCUUGGGUUCGGAAUAACAGUUGGAAACGAUUGCUAAUACCGGAUGAUGACGUAAGUCCAAAGAUUUAUCGCCCAAGGAUGAGCCCGCGUAGGAUUAGCUAGUUGGUGAGGUAAAGGCUCACCAAGGCGACGAUCCUUAGCUGGUCUGAGAGGAUGAUCAGCCACACUGGGACUGAGACACGGCCCAGACUCCUACGGGAGGCAGCAGUGGGGAAUAUUGGACAAUGGGCGAAAGCCUGAUCCAGCAAUGCCGCGUGAGUGAUGAAGGCCUUAGGGUUGUAAAGCUCUUUUACCCGGGAUGAUAAUGACAGUACCGGGAGAAUAAGCUCCGGCUAACUCCGUG
RNAcentral lists this ribosomal RNA (433 nucleotides) under uncultured bacterium. RNAcentral describes it as "partial 16S ribosomal RNA". It matches the Rfam family "Bacterial small subunit ribosomal RNA", at positions 29 to 507 of the family's 1533-position model. The record is from RNAcentral.